AUAGUGCGAAAUCUGCACUGGAGCAAAACUGCUCUCGGGGACCGGUCCCUGGCAGGGAGAGACCGGUCCCAUCGGCUGGUGUCGCGGGGGUUGCUUGAGGCAACCGGUCCCUGGCAGUGAGGGACCGGUUCCCGAACGUGAUCCCAGCGCGAAAAGCCAAAAAUUGGCUAAGUCCUGAAGUCCCAGUUCUCGGGAACCGGUCUCUCAGGAAGGAACCGGUCUCCCGAGGACCGGUCUCUCUGGGAGAGACCGGUACCCGAACGCGCGACCCGAGCUGAAGCUCUCGGGGACCGGUCCCAAGUCGGGGAGACCGGUCCCUCCGCGCGCAGAACGCCCAGGGAGGGCUGCGCACAGAGUGAAAAGUGGAGGGGCUUGGAUGGAUAUUGUUACAAUAGAGGGCUUAUUAGUCCCUCUCUCCCUCUCACUCUCUCUCAGUUCACUCUCUCUCCCUCCCUCACACUCUCUUGCUUUCUCUCUCUAGAAAAGAAGGAGAAAAGAAGAAGAAGAAGAAAGGAGAAGGAAAGAAGGAAGAAAGGGAAGGAGAAGAAGAAGGAGAUCAACAAAAGAAGGCUUUUGGACUUCUCCCUCAUCCUCUCUUCUCUCUUUUAAGCUAACCUAGAGGUAAGCUUCUAACCCUAGUUUGUGAAAUUUGGGGUUUUUGGGUUUUAGCUCUUUGGAUGGGAUCAAAUGGAUCCCUAGCACCAUGAAUGGAAGGAUUAGAGCUAGAAUCUAGGGUUUUGAGAUGGGUUUAGCUUGAUGCUAACCCUAGGGCACCAAAAUAGGGUUUUUCGGUAAAGUAUGGGAUUGAUCUCAUUUGAGGCCUUGUAAACCUAAUUGGUAGGUGCCUAAACGCGGGGGCGAAGUCGGAAUUUCGAUUCGUCGAGCGGGUCAAGAGCUAUCGGCAAAAUAAGGCCGAUUGAGCAUCAUUUGGACCAAGAAGACCGAGGCUUCGUCGUAAAGGACGCCGAAGCGCACUUCUAGAGCCUCCUUAUACGCAAAAGGUGGGGGGUGUCGUUCCGGAACAUCCGGGUUUCUUUUUAUGUCUAAGUUACAUAUGUGUUGAUCAUAUUGCAUUAUAGGAUUAAUAAAUGUAUAUUUCCUUUUCCCUUGCAUGCUUCUUAGUAGUGUACUUAUGAGUUGAACACCUAGACUAGGGUAGCAUGAGGAUUGGGUCUUAUGGCAUAGAAUCCUAUAGCGGCAUAAAGAGCCGAACUUGGACAUAGCCUAGUAGAGAGGCAUUGAACUAGUGUAGUAGAGACACUAAACUUGAACGAGUGGCAUGUCAAUUAGUAGAAAACUUACUACAAUGAUCGAACGAGUGGCAUCGAGUCUAGUGUAGUAAAUUUGACAUGAACCUAGGGAUAGUAGAAGUCCCAACAUUGAUUAUAUAUCAUGACUGUGCAGCAGAGGCACAUUGACCCUAGUAGACAGGGUAUCCUCUUGUGAGGAUUGGAUCAUACUCACUAGUCUGUUUUUGCUUGUCGGUGGUCGCUCCACCGAGGCACGAGUCUCCGGAGUACUUCACUAGGGGCAGACGUAGUUGUCCCGCAGACGGUCUCGGUGUGCGAGUGCAGUUUCUCCUCACCUAUGAGAUUGAGAGUGAGUCGAGGGUUUAACCUUCGGGUUAACCAAGUGAAUUGGGUAAGAAACAUGAAAUGCAUAGUAGACUUGCAUUAUUACCUUGAGUAGACAUAGUGUAUGUUGUAGUUUACAUUACUAUGCACCCUUAUAUACUCAUGACAUGAUACUAGCAUGAUAGUAGUUGUUGCAUGCAUUAUUAUCAUUGGUGGCAUGAUAGAGUAGUUGCAGUUUAUCUUUGUAUAUCUAUCUAUCUCUCUAUCUGUGCCAGCUUAGACCUAGUGGGAAAACCGGCGGCGUCGGCGGCCGAACCCACUGGGAACUAUAUUUAUAUAGUUCUCACCCCGUGUGGUUUUGGGGUACAGGUACACACAGAGGCGAGUCAAGCGAGGACCGCGGUAAGGGCAUAGCGCCCUAAGUGAGUUUAGUUGGUAGCUUUUCCUUUAUGCAUUAGAGUACCCUCGUGUACUAGAUGAUGUUUGGAUAGAUAUGGGAGAGCUAUUUGUAUUUUGAGGAAAACUAUGUAUUCACAUUUUGGUAGAUGAAAAAUGUAAUGCAAUCAAAUGAUGUAACUAUCGAAUGAAUGUAAUAGUUAGACUAUCUCUCUUUAUACACUAGUAUAUUACUUGUGGUUCUUGCUCUUAGAUGUAUUGCACUUGUGUGCGCUAUGUUCGAUCAUGUAUGUUAUCUAAGCAUUCCUGGGCGCUUACUUGUACAUGAUCUGGUUGUCUAGCCUUGGGCGGACAGGCGAGGUGCUGUCCGUUCGGCGUCUGUUCGACGCGCCCGAACCGGACCAAAUUGGUAGCGGCAUCGGGGCGUGACAG
Molecule: long non-coding RNA, 2402 nt
Filed under: Ananas comosus (pineapple)
Lineage: Eukaryota; Viridiplantae; Streptophyta; Magnoliopsida; Poales; Bromeliaceae
Description: long non-coding RNA (ACOM_LNC013477)
Source: RNAcentral